Thalassophryne amazonica is the source of this 1316-nucleotide long non-coding RNA. RefSeq lists it as uncharacterized. The record is from RefSeq and is a predicted model, not a curated record. NCBI's taxonomy places the organism in Eukaryota, Metazoa, Chordata, Actinopteri, Batrachoidiformes, Batrachoididae. The transcript is spliced from 2 exons.
CUAUAUAUAACAGAUUUGUAUAACAGAUUUUCGCAUCACAGGAAUAAAAUGUAUUUCCAUUAAAAAAACACCUCGCUUAGGGGACCGGAGUCAUUUCCAUGAUUAAAGCCUGACUUUAUUUUUUCAAAGCGUGCUCAGACUCGGGACCUGCAGCCUGACCUGCACCUGUUAAAUCAGACACACCAAAAGGCUGUUAAUGGUAAUGCGCUGGUCACAUUUCACGACAGGUCCCAAGGACACGACGCCUCUGCCCCGAUCAUCACGUUCGUGAUCGGCGGCCAGAAUGUGUACUUCGUGGCAUUUGUGACUUGUCAUCAUUAUGUGUGAAAUUGUGAAUGACUCCAUUAAAUCUGUUUUUGUUCCUUUGGUCACUCCCAGUUACUUAGAUACCUGUGGCAAUUCUAGAGAUAAUACCUGCUGAGAAGCGCUGACCCUCGAGGUCUUUGCGCAAAGGUUCAAAAGUCCUAACACCUUGUUGUCUUUUGUUACCAAAUGAUCAUGAUCACAUGAUCUUUGCCUUUAAUCACAAAAGACAGAAAUGCUUUAUGUUUGUCCCCCCACCCACCCACAGAUGACAGCAUCAUUCUGACCACAGCAGCACCAAGAGCAACAACCAACUUAACUUUACUCCUUCAAGAAAUCUUCAGCAGCAUCACAUCUGAUUUAAAAUGGCUCUUUCCUGCCUCAUUCCUCAUUUGAUUCUCCACUUUGUCCUGGCCUUUUAUUGCAGACAUCCUGCUUCAAGUCAUGCGACCUGAUGUCCACAAGGAUGAACGUGUCCCUCAGGUGUGAUGACAGAAGUGAGCCUCAGGAGGUGAAGAAAUUCAGCCACCAAAAAGAGCUGACUGAUGAGCAGAAAGCUGAGAAAUUCCAGAGUAUGUUGGUAGUAGAUGAGAUGGAGAGUCUGAGAGAAGAUCUUGCCAAUGAAGCUGGCUUUCUUCAAGAAGAUGACCACAUCUGAGGAGCUGGCAGCCCAGGAGGCUGUUUACCAAAAGAAGCUGAAAGUCCAGGAGACUUUUUACAAAAGAAGGCUGGCAGCCAGCGAGCAGGACCAUCAAGAGGAGCUGGAAGGCCAGAAUGAACUGUACAAAAGAGAAAUUAAAGAAAAGGAGGAGGGCUUUGAGAAGGGGGGACAGUUCUGUGGCUGUGGGAUCACUGGCAUAGGCGUGUUUGCUGCUGGAUUUUUAACAGCAGCCUAUUUUUUAAUGUUAAUUUCUAUUAACUUGCUCCAUGUUUUAUUGUCAGGCUGUGAUGCUACAUACUCCUGUUGAUAUUUCUUGUAUGAUAAAUGUUCAAAAAUAAAAAUUUAAACCAUU